UUGAAUGGACCUCACCCUAGGACGCUGGUGCCCUCGGAAACGGGAUCUGAGGUCCGGAUCACUAAAGCUCAGAGAUGUGAGGGAAGCCGAGAAGUUGCCGAAAGGGGCUGAGAGCUGCUACUCCUUUUCCCUGGGCAGCAAACCUCAAGCUUGUGCGGGCCAAUCAUUGCAUUCUGGUAACCAGCGCUUUAUUUAGCGCCUAAUGGCUUUCCUGCCCUGCAGCACUCGAAGGGCGCGGACCUUCGCUGAGACGCCACCCGUGCAAGUGGAAGAAGCCCUUGCGCCACUGCUGAGCGGUUGGAGGGGACACUGCAGCAGCGAUGACCUCCGAGGGUCAACGAGACCAGGUGCCCAUUAGGGAAACAGAGAUGGAGGAGAAAUCAUGCGUCAAGGUCUGAAAUUCGACGUGGCUGUCACUGGAUAUCUCCUCAUUGUCGCCAUACAUGCACCCGCCUGCAGCGGCGCACCGGACUCGGUGCUGCACCUUCCUCCUGGCGCCUGCGCCACUGCCCCCGCGCAGGUCCCACCGCGCAGGACGCCCCUUCCCGCUUCCGACGUCUACUAUGGAUCACACGCGGUCACCGCCAAAGCCUCCAUUUCGGUUCUGACCCAAUGACUUUGGGGACGCCCAGGGAGAAGAUGUGGAGAGGAUGUGGCCAAGGCGAACCAGCCAGUGUAAGUGCGAAUGCUUCUGGCUUCUCGGUAACACCUACCCUGCCCCACCACCCAAAUCGGGCCUUGAUAAAAAAAGAAGCAUCUUGACAAUAUAUUUUUAGACAUAAGUAAGUUGAAUGUGCCCACGGAGAGAGGUUGAAGACAUUUGAUUAUUAGGACAGAGUAGAAGCCUGUCUGGUUCAUCCCCUUGGCCAGCUCUGAAGCAGCAGUGGACACAUCUCUGCGAUUUUGCAAGGAUGUUUGUG
This is a non-coding RNA of Chlorocebus sabaeus (green monkey), 920 nucleotides long. The record is from RefSeq and is a predicted model, not a curated record. Lineage: Eukaryota; Metazoa; Chordata; Mammalia; Primates; Cercopithecidae.